Molecule: long non-coding RNA, 1195 nt
Organism: Metopolophium dirhodum (rose-grain aphid)
Lineage: Eukaryota; Metazoa; Arthropoda; Insecta; Hemiptera; Aphididae
Exons: 4
Source: RefSeq, a predicted model, not a curated record
UACUCAUAUUAUGACGCAUAUCGGAUUAUUGGAAUAAUAAGGCGUAUAAUAUUAUUGAUUUUUAUGACGUAAUACGCAUACAUAGACUGUCUGUCUGCCUAUUGGCGAUUGAAAGUAAUAAGCUGUAACAGGAACGCUGUGUAUCAUAAUUCAUAUUUUAUGUGUUAUUUUUCCAGUUCCCUGUUACACUGUUGACUUUUUCCCUGUUGACUGCCCCCAACCCUAUAGAUUCACCCCCCGACGGCCAGAAAAUUGAUAAGCUUUCAAUCGCCAAUCGUUAGUGAGCACUGAUAUUAUAUUAUACGUAUCUUGUCUAUGCAGCUGCUGUGAAUCUUUUUCGGCUGUCGGUCUCAAGUAUUCUACUAUUCUACUGUUUGUGAUUUUUGUGCACUUGUGAAUACUUGUUGUAGCCGUCCUGAACCACGUCGUAUACACUUUAUGUCAUUGAAUCUAUGAUAUUGUAAAUAUCGUCUGUUGACAAAUCCAAAAUACAUCAAUAUUGUUUUUUAAAAUGGCAUCAAGAAGUUUUGAUGAUGAGAAGCCAACAUCAGAGCCAACUGAGGAUGAGCCUUCCAAAAAAAAAAACAAAUUAUUAGUGGAUAAUAAAACUAAAAAAAGUCUUAAAAGAAAACACAGUCUAGAGUAUCAAGAAAUGCGUAAUGAAAAAAAAAUUAAGUUUUAUAGGGAGAUAAUGAGGAUGGUUGAACGAACUUAUGCUGUCGUAUACAGAACUUACGAGGAUCACGUAAAUAAUAACGUUCCAGAUACUACAAGUUAAAUAAAUAAAACCUGGAUUUGAGAUUAAAUUAUGUACCUAAUUCAAGAAUACAUAGAUAAAAAAGUAAGAAAUUAUGUUACAAAAUGUAUGUUAGUUAUUGUAACCCAAUAGUGCAAUUAUUAUAUAUCUUGAAUCAAUAUUUCCAUAAUUUAUUAUAUUCUGUAUUUUACAUUAAUGUUUUUUUUUUUUUUUACAUUACUAAUCAUAAUAUAUUUUGACCAGGUGUUACAAUAGUUACCAGUGUAUUUUUUCUUUCAUUAUUAUACUUACUUCUUGUACAAUGGCUCAAUAAUAAUGUACUUUCGGGUUAUCUCAACUACUUUAGGUUACAAAUAGGAACCAGCACCCUAAGUUUUACAUUUUUAUAAGAACAUUUCACAAGACUUUGUAAUGUAAUGUAACCAUGAAAACUUUUUU